Molecule: long non-coding RNA, 3892 nt
Organism: Humulus lupulus (European hop)
Lineage: Eukaryota; Viridiplantae; Streptophyta; Magnoliopsida; Rosales; Cannabaceae
Exons: 7
Source: RefSeq, a predicted model, not a curated record
UAUAACCGACCUCAAAUAUUAGAUAGGGGACGUACACUACACCAAAUACCCCAUUCCAUAACACAUGAAUAUAAUAGUAAUAAAAAAGUAUUAUGCUAGACUAGUAUAUUGGGCCACUUUAGGAAAAAAAAAGGCGGUAAUAAUUCCAUAUCCCGCCACUUAGCAUUUUUUUUUCAUUUGGGAUACCUGGAAAUUUGUGAGACCCGAGAGACCAAUUCCUGUCCUUCAAUUCCUUCAACAUUUCUGAGACCCGAGACCCAUUUCCUCUCCUUCAACAUUUUUGAGACCCAUUUCCUUUCCCCAUUUCUUCGGCUUGGUACUACAUCCAAACUCCUCACUCUCUCUCUCAUCUAUCUCUAUCUCUUUGUCAACCUUCAAUUUCUAGUCGUUGGUAUCCUCGAGCGAGAAAAAGAGAAAUAAAAGGGGAAAAUCACUUUCGUUUCCUUUUUUUUUAUGGUUUUUCUUUUCUUUCAUGAUCUGGUUCUGAAUUUUGAUGGUUUCUCUGAUUCCUCUUCUGCUCCGCCGCAAGAGCUACUCUGAUUGUCCCUCAGGUGUGGACUAAGGCUCGACGACUAUGGGAUGUAGGCAGGGACUAAAGGUUGACGAUGAUGGGAUGUAGACGGUGCUUUGGUGGUGAGGGCUAGAUCGGUGCAGGUGGUGGUCGACUGUGUCUUGUGCAAGGUCGGGGACAGACGGGGACUGAAGGGUGACGCAUGGGUAAGAUUUUUUCUCACCUGUUUUUUUUUUAUUUUUUUGCAAAAGAAUUAGCAUAAAACAUGUGAAUUAUUUUAUGUCUGGUUUAUGCUAGAGUUUCAAGGGGUAUUCAGUUGAAUCCUGUAUGUUGUUUUCUGACAUAAAUUCAUACAGGAUUCUGAUUAGACCGCAUCCAGCAAUUUGAUGCUUAGUUCAUGGCAUGGCUAUUGUUUACCUUGUUGCUCUCACAUUUUUGCUUUUUCAGGUCAGCUCUUCUCUUUCCUAUCUGUAUAGUGAUCCUUUUUUCCAAAAAAUAAAAAUUACUGGAGAGUUAAUAUUAUUGGAAAAGUAUGCUCUGAUUUUGGUGUUUUAUUUUUGAAUAUUUAAUGGAGAGUUACUAAGUUGUAGCAAGAAGUUGAAAAUUGGAUCAUAUUGUUUGGAGUAGAAAUACAUGUGUUUUAGUGUUUUUUUUUUUUCUUUCAUGUAAACAGAAAAUCAUGGAUUUCCUGUACUUUUUAGCUUAAGAAAUUUGCUUGUCAUGUCUCAUUUUCUGUUUCUUGUGAACCUUUGUUAUUGACACUGAGUUAGAUGCAUUUUUUACUGACUCAGGUCAAAAGAACACUAGAAUAAUUUACACCAGAUCAGUGGGAAAAAGAUGAGUGGUAUCCCCUGCUUGGUCCAUGGCGUUUCAUUCAAGAUGUUAGCCUUUGUAUCGUCUUCCUCACAGUAGAGCUCAACACCUUUUUUUUGAAGUUCUGUUUGUGGAUUCCUCCUCGAAACCCCGUUAUUGUGUAUAGGUUGAUAUUGUGGUGGCUAAUAGCAAUUCCUACAAUUCGUGAGUACAACUCAUAUCUUCAAGACAGAAAACCAGCGAAAAAAGUCGGCGCAUUCUGUUGGCUUUCCUUAGCUAUUUGCAUAGUAGAGCUUCUCAUUUGCAUCAAGUUUGGACAUGAAGAUGAUAAUUUGAAAGUUGCCAUUGUUGGACAGUGCCCUGAAGGUGAUACUGCAACGACUAACAAUUAUGAGCGAUGUGAAAAGCGAGAUAAAAAGCCUACUAGGCAACGGUUAUUGGUAGUUGCUAAUAGAUUACCAGUCUCUGGCAUUUAGAGAUUAGUGCUGGGGGUUUAGUCAGUGCUCUUCUGGGUAUGCAAUUCCUACUCUUCAUUUUUUAAGAUUGUUUGGUCUAUUUAUAUUUAUAUUAAGAUUGUUUACUUGAUGAUAUUAUUGCGUGUCUAACAAAAUAGUUCCCCGUAUUAAUAGUUUUUUGUUACUUUUUUUACCUAAUGAUUUUGUUUUUUUCUUUGUAAACUUGUUAUUCACUUGUACUGUAUGGUAUAGAUUCAGAUCGCUUUAUACGUGCACUGGAGCUUCCUCAAGUCCAGGAACACAUCAGAGAACUGAAAGAAAGAUUUGCUGGGUGGAGGGUAAAUAAUAUAUUUUAAGAAUAAAAGUAUGCCAUGCAUACACUCAACUUCCACAAGAUAAUGGGAACAUGUAUUAAUUCUUAAGCAUAAUUUAUCUCACUGUCUAGUUUCCUAUGACAUGAAGUUUUAGGAUAGUUGGUCGCUUGAUAUGAUUUGAGACCUUGUUUAUGAUAUUCUUGUUUGGUUCUUUUACUGUAAAGCUAUUAGAUAAUUCUUAGUCCUUACCUUCGUAGUGACACAUUUCUAUUUAUGCUAUGAUGCAUUCCAAUUUUCUUACAUAAUUUAUUUCUGCACAUAGCUUUUUUCUCUUGAUUUCCUUAUUGUAGACUUACCUGCCCCCCUCUCUUUCCCUACUUCCUUUGGGGUUUGAAAAAGCUAUCUUAAAAGUCAUCUUUUAAUUGUUAUGAUGUGUUUUAAUCUUUUCUUUUCUGGAAUUACUGAGCUUGUUUUUUUUCUUUUUUGUUUCUUGUUGUUUCUAGUUUUAUGGUGCAACAACAUUUUUCAUUCAUAGAUCAAAAUUCAGUGUCUCCAUGAUUAUGCUUUAUAUGAAGGUUGGAGAGAAAGACAGUUAAGAGGAAAAGAGUUUUUGCUCGAACAUAUUGUUCACCUUCUUGCCAAUGAGCAAUCACAACUUCAUGUUCUUGAAGAAGUUGAACUCGGCAGGUGCAAAAACAGUACAUUGCAAGAGUUAUUGGGGCAUUUCCCGAGCAUGAGCUAUGUAAAGCUGUUAUAAUGCCCGGGAAGGAAAGAGCACAGCAGAUGUUAGUUUGAUGCUACAUGUUCUAUAGCUUUCAUAUGAAAACAGUCCGUUAUUAGUUUGUUUUGAUGUCUGCUGAGAGGUAUUCCAGUGUCCCUCAUUUUUUGUAUUUGAGGCCAUUGUCCUUGGGCAUGUGCCUGAGAAUAGUAGGAUACCUUUUGUAAAUCCUACCUCUUUGUUAUGCAGGUGCUCAACUCCUCUGGUGGCACUUCAGUAAAAGGGAAGGUUGCUUGUACCAAGUUCACUAGAAUUAGUACCAUAAUGUGUUCCUCUAUAUAUGCAGAUUUAUAUAAUUAAAGUCGUGUGUAUUGAAGUUGUUAACAUUAUAUAUAUACAUUUUUUGGAGUAAAGCAUUUGAUGUAAGUUUUUAAAGUAUUUAUUGGACUUUAUUAGAGUGUUCUACUAUAUGAGUUCAAGCUUUUACACCAGACAUAGCCAUUAGUUAUGUUUUAACUGUCAUUAGUGAUACAUCUUUUGCUGUUGGUUAAUACAUGUGACAGUGAGAAUCCAUUUCUUACUGCUUUGGCUUCUCUUUUGUGAUUUCUUGCUAUAUAUAAUAAAACUUAUAGGGUAACUCUUGAUGGUAUAUUCUGUUGCGCUAUGUGUUUUAUUUCUGCUGCAAUUGUUGUAGUAGUUAUAACAUAUAUAUCAUAGUAAAAGUAGUGUUCUAGAGGGUGUAUACACUCCCACUACAAUAGGGGCUGGACAUUUUCUCAGUCCAUUCCCUCUCUCAGUCACUCAGGUAUGGCGAUUGCUUUUUUAUUUUAUAUUUUAAUUUCUUUUCUGUUUUUUUCUUUCUUUCUUUUGUUUUGGUGAGUUUUGUGCAAUAACUAUUUCAGGUUAUAUAAUGAGCGGUUAGGUAUGAGAUAUGGGCGAAAUCCAUACUAGAGCUUUCCGUGGACUUCUCCUAUUACAGAGAUUGACCACAAAGAUGUACCAUUUGUUACUUUAAUGGAUGUUCUUACCUAUCGAGAGGAAUUUGGGCUACAAUUUCUUGACAGGCUCUCUUACACCCCCU